This 423-nucleotide long non-coding RNA is filed under the name Pan troglodytes (chimpanzee). RNAcentral's name for it is "long non-coding RNA NONPTRT017442". The record is from RNAcentral. Lineage: Eukaryota; Metazoa; Chordata; Mammalia; Primates; Hominidae.
UAAUAAUUGUAAACCUUAUUCUUAUUACAUUAAUAAUCCAUAGAAGUGUCACCAAGAUUGAGUGAAAAUAUAUGGGUUUAAUUCCUGGUAUUGGUGUUAUCUUGCUCUGUAAUUUGGAUUAAGUCUUCAAAUCCAUUCCAUGAUUGCAUCUAACUUUUCUUCAGCUCAGACUUGGACGGUUGAAUCCAGUUUUAUGCCUACAGCAGCAUCUAAGCUGACAUCUUUGCAGGUAGAGAUGGAAGGUCAGAGAAGGAAGAGUUCAAGGUACAUUCCUUCUUCCAGUGUACCUUGGACUCGGCCCUGGUCGGUUUUAGGUAGGGAAAAGAAGAGAGAAAAGGGUCCAUGUUUUUACUGGACCCAAAGCCCGAUGGUAACUGUGGGGGGGAAUAACCCACCCCCCCCUUUGACAGUAAUAAAAUAUUC